Pseudonaja textilis is the source of this 958-nucleotide non-coding RNA. Lineage: Eukaryota; Metazoa; Chordata; Lepidosauria; Squamata; Elapidae. The record is from RefSeq and is a predicted model, not a curated record.
GCGCCACCAGGAGCGUCGGGAUCUCUGCGCGUGAGCGUUGCCAGUGCUGGGCGAGGCCGAGGCGCGCUUUGAGCGGCGCGAUGGAGUCUACGGUGGAAGAGUUGAUGCCCCGCCUCUUACCUGUAGAGGAUUGCGACCUCGCGGAAGACUUCGACCCUACGGUACCCCCACGAACCCCCCAAGAGUAUUUAAAGCGGGUCCAGAUUGAAGCUGCAAAAUGUCCUGAUGUUGUUGUGGCCCAGAUUGAUCCCAAGAAACUGAAAAAGAAGCAGACUCUAAAUAUUUCACUUUCAGGGUGUCAACCUGCUCCUGAAGGAUACUCUCCAACACUGAAAUGGCAACAGCAACAAGUGUCUCAUUUUUCAACCAUACGCCAGAGUGUGAACAAGCACAGGGAUCACUGGAAAGCACAACAUUUGGACAGCAAUGUAACAAUGCCCACAACAGAUGAUGAGGAAGGUUGGAAAAAAUUCUGCUUAGGUGAAAAGUUGUAUUUAGAAUUAACAGAUCAAAUCUCAAGUGAUGAAAGUCCAGGAAUUGAUUAUGUACAGAUUGGCUUUCCUCCAUUGCUGAGCAUUGUUAGCAGAAUGAAUCAGGCAACAGUGACCAGUGUCUUAGAAUACUUGACAAACUGGCUGGUGGAAAAAGAAUUUACUCCAGAACUGAUGGCUUUAUGCUUUGUUAGCUUGUCUGGAGAAACCAUUAUUACCAGAGGCUCACUCUCUAAUUCGACAACUGGCUAGGAAAUGCUCUGAAGUGAGAGUUCUGGAGGAGAACAAGAAUGAUGAAAAAGUAUCUGCUCUAAACUUGUUGAUUUGUUUGGUUGGAAGGUAUUUUGACCAAUAUGACCUGGCUGACGAGGCAUCCUGAUAAACAUCUGAAAACUAUACAUGCACAAGUUGUUAAUCUUUCACAGGCAGGCAGGCAGUACUUUCAGAUUGAAGUAUGAAGAAUGGAU